GUGCUUGCUUUGGCAGCACAUAUACUAAAAUUGGAACGAUACAGAGAAGAUUAGCAUGGCCCCUGCACAAGGAUGACACCCAAAUUCGUGAAGCAUUCCAUAUUUUU
RNAcentral lists this small nuclear RNA (107 nucleotides) under Phocoena sinus (vaquita). RNAcentral also lists the same sequence under 2 other names. The record is from RNAcentral. Lineage: Eukaryota; Metazoa; Chordata; Mammalia; Artiodactyla; Phocoenidae.